UACGGAGGGGGCUAGCGUUGUUCGGUAUUACUGGGCUUAAAGAGUUCGUAGGCGGCUCUGUAGGUGAGAUGUGAAAGCCCUCGGCUUAACCGAGGAACUGCGUUUCAAACCACAGGGCUUGAGGGAGAUAGGGGUAAGCGGAACAGAUGGUGGAGCGGUGAAAUGCAUUGAUAUCAUCUGGAACACCGGUGGCGAAGGCGGCUUACUGGGUCUUUUCUGACGCUGAGGAACGAAAGCUAGGGUAGCGAACGGG
Molecule: ribosomal RNA, 253 nt
Filed under: uncultured bacterium
Lineage: Bacteria
Description: partial 16S ribosomal RNA
Rfam family: Bacterial small subunit ribosomal RNA
Source: RNAcentral